UACGUAGGGGGCGAGCGUUGUCCGGAGUUACUGGGCGUAAAGGGCGUGCAGGCGGUGCGGUAAGUUUAGCGUGACAGUCUCCGGCUUAACUGGAGAAGGCCGCUGAAAACUGCUGGACUUGAGGGCCAGAGAGGGACAUAGAAUUCCGGGGUGGAGUGGUGAAAUGCGUAGAUAUCCGGAGGAAUACCAAAGGCGAAGGCAGUGUCCUGGCUGGCAACUGACGCUGAGGCGCGAAAGCUAGGGGAGCGAACAGG
RNAcentral lists this ribosomal RNA (254 nucleotides) under uncultured bacterium. Its description in RNAcentral is "partial 16S ribosomal RNA". It matches the Rfam family "Bacterial small subunit ribosomal RNA", at positions 524 to 776 of the family's 1533-position model. The record is from RNAcentral.